RNAcentral lists this long non-coding RNA (312 nucleotides) under Nicotiana benthamiana. Its description in RNAcentral is "long non-coding RNA (NBEN_LNC025020)". Lineage: Eukaryota; Viridiplantae; Streptophyta; Magnoliopsida; Solanales; Solanaceae. The record is from RNAcentral.
UUUUUAUGAAUGUUUCUUCAUAUUUAGAUUUUUAGAACCAAGAGAUACCUUUGAUUUCUUUUUUGUUCGAAGAGUAGAGACCUCCUCUACAAAGUCGUCAUCCUGAGCAAUGUCUUUCUCUUUUCUUUUGACUUGUUUGACUGCUGUAGAACAUUUCCAACAUCUAGAUCAAAUUUUUUUUGUUCUCAUUUCAGCUCUUAUUUGUCGGGGAGAGGAAGUAUGACUAAUAUCUGUAAUUGCAUGUGUAGAUUUACCUAGGUUUUUGGGUGAUUUAGAUGAUAAAACACCCAAAUCAAAGGACGGUAAAUCAUC